This is a long non-coding RNA of Fundulus heteroclitus (mummichog), 493 nucleotides long. RefSeq lists it as uncharacterized. The transcript has 2 exons. Lineage: Eukaryota; Metazoa; Chordata; Actinopteri; Cyprinodontiformes; Fundulidae. The record is from RefSeq and is a predicted model, not a curated record.
CCGUCGUGGUAUGCAAGCCAGCCUCGGCCUCUAGCCUGGUGAACCUUCUCGUGUAGCUAAAGCUCUUACCUCUGUGUUUCCUAGGUCCCUCCUUGUGUCCUGACGUUCACCUCUCGUGACAACACCUCUCAAGAUCCAUCAAUUAACCUCUCGUGUUGGUUUCCCUUGUGGAUUCCUCCUGGCUCCUCUCAAGUCGAUUACUCGCCUCUGGACCCCAGCCUCCUUCGGACAUCAACUGGUUCCUCCCACUGAUCUGGAUCCCUUUAUCUCCCGGCGCUGAUCGGACCCCCUACCGCCUCCGCUCUCUGCUCUCCCGGACAACUGUGGCUUCACCAUCAGGCAAACGCUGAGUCCACAUCGCCUCCUCCCUGGUUCGGUCUCCCCGCUCAGUGAUCAACCCGAUCUCCCGUCCUCCUGGUUCCUGCUCGAGAUCCGUUCUGCAGAGACAGAUCGUUCCCCGUGUACCUAGUCCAAAUAAACCUUUGCAAAUCUA